CAGUCGACGCUUCUUUCCUCCCGAGUGCUUGCACUCAAUUGGAAAGAGGAGUGGCGGACGGGUGAGUAACACGUGGGUAACCUACCCAUCAGAGGGGGAUAACACUUGGAAACAGGUGCUAAUACCGCAUAACAGUUUAUGCCGCAUGGCAUAAGAGUGAAAGGCGCUUUCGGGUGUCGCUGAUGGAUGGACCCGCGGUGCAUUAGCUAGUUGGUGAGGUAACGGCUCACCAAGGCCACGAUGCAUAGCCGACCUGAGAGGGUGAUCGGCCACACUGGGACUGAGACACGGCCCAGACUCCUACGGGAGGCAGCAGUAGGGAAUCUUCGGCAAUGGACGAAAGUCUGACCGAGCAACGCCGCGUGAGUGAAGAAGGUUUUCGGAUCGUAAAACUCUGUUGUUAGAGAAGAACAAGGACGUUAGUAACUGAACGUCCCCUGACGGUAUCUAACCAGAAAGCCACGGCUAACUACGUGCCAGCAGCCGCGGUAAUACGUAGGUGGCAAGCGUUGUCCGGAUUUAUUGGGCGUAAAGCGAGCGCAGGCGGUUUCUUAAGUCUGAUG
This 563-nucleotide ribosomal RNA is filed under the name Enterococcus faecalis. RNAcentral describes it as "bacterial SSU rRNA". It matches the Rfam family "Bacterial small subunit ribosomal RNA", at positions 59 to 594 of the family's 1533-position model. The record is from RNAcentral. Lineage: Bacteria; Bacillati; Bacillota; Bacilli; Lactobacillales; Enterococcaceae.